Molecule: ribosomal RNA, 402 nt
Filed under: uncultured bacterium
Lineage: Bacteria
Description: partial 16S ribosomal RNA
Rfam family: Archaeal small subunit ribosomal RNA
Source: RNAcentral
ACACCGGCAGCUCAAGUGGUAGCCGCUUUUAUUGGGCCUAAAGCGUCCGUAGCCGGUCUGAUAAGUCUCUGGUGAAAUCCCACAGCUUAACUGUGGGAAUUGCUGGAGAUACUAUCAUGACUCGAGGUCGGGAGAGGCUGGAGGUACUCCCAGGGUAGGGGUGAAAUCCUGUAAUCCUGGGAGGACCACCUGUGGCGAAGGCGUCCAGCUGGAACAAACCUGGCGGUGAGGGACGAAAGCCAGGGGCGCGAACCGGAUUAGAUACCCGGGUAGGCCUGGCCGUAAACGAUGUGGACUUGGUGUUGGGAUGGCUUCGAGCUGCCCCAGUGCCGAAGGGAAGCUGUUAAGUCCACCGCCUGGGAAGUACGGCCGCAAGGCUGAAACUUAAAGGAAUUGACGGGG